RNAcentral lists this ribosomal RNA (200 nucleotides) under uncultured bacterium. Its description in RNAcentral is "partial 16S ribosomal RNA". It matches the Rfam family "Bacterial small subunit ribosomal RNA", at positions 8 to 202 of the family's 1533-position model. The record is from RNAcentral.
AGAGUUUGAUCCUGGCUCAGGAUGAACGCUAGCGGCAGGCUUAACACAUGCAAGUCGAGGGGCAGCGCGGGUAGCAAUACCUGGCGGCGACCGGCAAACGGGUGCGGAACACGUACACAACAUACCUGAUUCAGGGGAAUAACCCGAAGAAAUUCGGACUAAUACCCCAUAAGACAGUAGGAUGGCAUCAUCCAGCUGUU